GAUGAACGCUGGCGGCGUGCCUAAUACAUGCAAGUCGAGCGAACAGACGAGGAGCUUGCUCCUCUGACGUUAGCGGCGGACGGGUGAGUAACACGUGGAUAACCUACCUAUAAGACUGGGAUAACUUCGGGAAACCGGAGCUAAUACCGGAUAAUAUAUUGAACCGCAUGGUUCAAUAGUGAAAGACGGUUUUGCUGUCACUUAUAGAUGGAUCCGCGCCGCAUUAGCUAGUUUGUAAGGUAACGGCUUACCAAGGCAACGAUGCGUAGCCGACCUGAGAGGGUGAUCGGCCACACUGGAACUGAGACACGGUCCAGACUCCUACGGGAGGCAGCAGUAGGGAAUCUUCCGCAAUGGGCGAAAGCCUGACGGAGCAACGCCGCGUGAGUGAUGAAGGUCUUCGGAUCGUAAAACUCUGUUAUGAGGGAAGAACAAAUGUGUAAGUAACUAUGCACGUCUUGACGGUACCUAAUCAGAAAGCCACGGCUAACUACGUG
Molecule: ribosomal RNA, 497 nt
Filed under: uncultured bacterium
Lineage: Bacteria
Description: partial 16S ribosomal RNA
Rfam family: Bacterial small subunit ribosomal RNA
Source: RNAcentral